This 1282-nucleotide long non-coding RNA is filed under the name Struthio camelus australis. RNAcentral describes it as "lncRNA (ENSSCUG00000007916.1)". Lineage: Eukaryota; Metazoa; Chordata; Aves; Struthioniformes; Struthionidae. The record is from RNAcentral.
UGUGACAGUGAAGGGAGGAUGAAUCUGAAAUGAGACCCAGAUGCACCCAUGUGGGUAUGUUCGUGCAAACUGUGCAGGGCCUGCUUAAAUGUGCUACGCGGUCCGGGCACCCGCUGCCAUUGCACAAGGCCAGCUCGUCCUUGCUUUGCAUUUAUCUCUCUGAAUAGUUAGCGCAGAUCUUCAGGGUUUGCUGUUAAACCACCCGCGACGAACCAGAGGGAGACAUGGGGGAGCAAUCUAAAGUUGAGUCCUUCUCUAGACUUCUUUGGAUCUGGGUAAAAAUGACAGUGACAAAGCCAUCUCCUCCAUAGCGUUCAUUUGAAAUCCAAGCGGAAACCACAGACUGAACAUGUUCUCCAAUUUUAAAUAGAUCUGGUGAAAGUAUUAAUCACUUGUCUCUGUCACAGCAUUGUUGGGAUGUUGUGCUGCCUGCAGGCAGAAGGUCUGAUCCUGGAAGGAAACGGUGUGAAGGCCCCAGCUCCAAUUUUGCAACGUGAAAUGCUCAGAUCAUCUGGAUCAUUUCUGGAUGAGAUUUCAGGUUUCUCAGAGGGGCGUUUUAUCUCAGGUCUCCGUGUGCAACCCCAGCGAGGGAAAGAUGCUGCUGUUUUCACCUGGCUGAAGCUAGUGGAGGUCAACUGCAGUCAAGGGGCACUUGCUACACCGCAAGGGUAACAGGUACGAUGCCUCCCAUCCGCUGAGACUGUAUGCCGAGAGAGGCAGCGCGGAUUAACAACUACAGUGGAAGAAGCACGCCUGUUUCGAAGGGAAGGUGAAGCCCCUGUCUUACAAGCACAGCUGCUAAAUCAUAGCUGUGUGUCUGAAGCUGAAGUCAGUGGAAAUGGGCACUUAGAAACAGGCAAAACUCACAAGUCCUCCAUCGCCCAUGGAUGGAUGUCUCUUGACCUGAGGGGCUGGAAGUUAUAGUUUCUAAUGGUCCUGGCAUCUUAAUAGAGUUGAAGGUGGAUGAAAUUUGUUCGGUAAGGUGAGUCUUAGUAAAUAGGCAGCUAGGCUCCUAGUUGUAUGAAGUUCCUACUGUAAUUCUGGGACAGCAGCUGGCUCCCAGAGGUGUUGGAGGGAAGAAAACCAUCAAAACGUCUUCCCCUUCCCUCCGCGGGUCAGACCCACUUCUCUCCCGCAGCUGUGCGCAAUGGGCAGCACUCCUCUGCCACCGCUCCCACGGCCGGGGCAGCUCACUCAAGCUGCAGCACUCCGGCCACUGCCGGCAUGGAGAGGUUCCCUGCGGUGACUGGAGUUCAGCUUUCAGCCAGCGGAUAUGCCUGCG